This 86-nucleotide long non-coding RNA is filed under the name Callithrix jacchus (white-tufted-ear marmoset). RNAcentral describes it as "lncRNA (ENSCJAG00000075498.1)". The record is from RNAcentral. Lineage: Eukaryota; Metazoa; Chordata; Mammalia; Primates; Cebidae.
GAGGAGCAAGGCUGUUAUCCCCACCAGAGGACAAUCUCAUGCAUAUCAGGCUGUCAGUGCUGCUGCUGAUGCCUGCUGACACUACC